AUAUGAUUUUAAAUAACUGAAAAGUUAUAUGGGUGAAAAGAGAAAAGUGGAGAUAAAAUGUUAGAGAUGUCAUACUAAUACUUUCAGCUCUUCCUGGUUCAAGAAUAGAUUCAAGUGAUUUUUAGAAGAUGCUAACAGAACUAUGAGAUGUGCAAAGGCUACUUCAACAAAGCUUUGAUUCAUAUGAGGAAGAGAAACAAGUUUAAAUGAGACACUUGCAUUUUAUCAUAGGUAAAUGUAUUUUAGUGACAUUAUUUAUUGAUGUAUGUUUUAGUGAAGAAUGCUGCUUUGAAUUGGAUUUUCUUGUUGAUCCCUUUGUUGCUGUUAUAUGGUGGUUUCUGGUCUUGGUUUUGAGCAUGCUAGUAGUGUUGUUUCCAGUUGGCAAAUAUAAGUUAUGCAGGCUAGUUUUGAGCCUGCUAGUAGUGUUCUUGAGUAUCUUUAAAUACUUCAGUUAAUACAUAAUAUAUAUUAUGGCUUUGUUUAAAUAUCAUGUCUUUAAUUAAGUUUGAUGUAUGUAUUAGGGAAGAAUGAUGCUUUGAGUUGGGUUAUCUUAUUGAUCCCUUUGUUGCUGUUGUAGGGUGGUAUUUGGUUUUUGUUUUUAGCAUACUGGUGGUAGAAGUAUUAUACUUGUGACAUUGCGUUGUUUCCAGUUAGCAAAUGUAAGUU
Molecule: long non-coding RNA, 666 nt
Filed under: Trifolium pratense (red clover)
Lineage: Eukaryota; Viridiplantae; Streptophyta; Magnoliopsida; Fabales; Fabaceae
Description: long non-coding RNA (TPRA_LNC009761)
Source: RNAcentral